GGGGCAAUAGCUCAGUCGGUUAGAGCAGCGGACUCAUAAUCCGCUGGUCCCUGGUUCAAGUCCAGGUUGCCCCA
RNAcentral lists this transfer RNA (74 nucleotides) under Verrucomicrobiota bacterium. Its description in RNAcentral is "Verrucomicrobia bacterium (activated sludge metagenome) tRNA-Ile". It matches the Rfam family "tRNA". From Rfam's summary of the family: Transfer RNA (tRNA) molecules are approximately 80 nucleotides in length. The record is from RNAcentral. Lineage: Bacteria; Pseudomonadati; Verrucomicrobiota.